This 253-nucleotide ribosomal RNA is filed under the name uncultured bacterium. Its description in RNAcentral is "partial 16S ribosomal RNA". It matches the Rfam family "Bacterial small subunit ribosomal RNA", at positions 524 to 776 of the family's 1533-position model. The record is from RNAcentral.
UACGAGGGGUGCAAGCGUUGCUCGGAAUUAUUGGGCGUAAAGGGUAGGUAGGUGGUCUCAUUUGUCCGGGGUGAAAUCCUUGGGCUUAACUCAAGAAGUGCCCCGGAAACGGUGAGACUAGAGUACUGGAGAGGGUCGUGGAAUUCCCGGUGUAGCGGUGAAAUGCGUAGAGAUCGGGAGGAACACCAGAGGCGAAGGCGGCGACCUGGACAGUUACUGACACUCAACUACGAAAGCGUGGGGAGCAAACAGG